This 652-nucleotide ribosomal RNA is filed under the name uncultured Microvirgula sp. RNAcentral's name for it is "bacterial SSU rRNA". It matches the Rfam family "Bacterial small subunit ribosomal RNA", at positions 60 to 705 of the family's 1533-position model. Lineage: Bacteria; Pseudomonadati; Pseudomonadota; Betaproteobacteria; Neisseriales; Aquaspirillaceae. The record is from RNAcentral.
AGUCGAACGGUAACAGGGGAGCUUGCUCCCGCUGACGAGUGGCGAACGGGUGAGUAAUGCAUCGGAACGUGCCGAAUAGUGGGGGAUAACGCACCGAAAGGUGUGCUAAUACCGCAUACGCCCUGAGGGGGAAAGUGGGGGACCGCAAGGCCUCACGCUAAUCGAGCGGCCGAUGUCGGAUUAGCUAGUUGGUGGGGUAAAGGCUCACCAAGGCGACGAUCCGUAGCGGGUCUGAGAGGAUGAUCCGCCACACUGGUACUGAGACACGGCCCAGACUCCUACGGGAGGCAGCAGUGGGGAAUUUUGGACAAUGGGGGAAACCCUGAUCCAGCCAUGCCGCGUGUCUGAAGAAGGCCUUCGGGUUGUAAAGGACUUUUGUCCGGGAGGAAACCCUGAUCGUUAAUAGCGGUCGGGACUGACAGUACCGGAAGAAUAAGCACCGGCUAACUACGUGCCAGCAGCCGCGGUAAUACGUAGGGUGCAAGCGUUAAUCGGAAUUACUGGGCGUAAAGCGUGCGCAGGCGGUGAGAUAAGUCAGCUGUGAAAGCCCCGGGCUCAACCUGGGAACUGCGGCCGAAACUGUCUCGCUAGAGUACGUCAGAGGGGGGUGGAAUUCCACGUGUAGCAGUGAAAUGCGUAGAGAUGUGGAGGA